GUGGGGAAUAUUGGGCAAUGGGCGCAAGCCUGACCCAGCGACGCCGCGUGGGCGAUGAAGGCCUUCGGGUUGUAAAGCCCUGUCAUGCGGAAAGAACGACCCUGUGACGCAUACUCACAGGGAGUGACGGUACCGCAGGAGGAAGCACCGGCUAACUCCGUGCCAGCAGCCGCGGUAAUACGGAGGGUGCAAGCGUUGUUCGGAAUUAUUGGGCGUAAAGGGCGCGUAGGCGGUAAUGUAAGUCAGAUGUGAAAUACUCCGGCUCAACCAGAGAAUUGCAUCUGAAACUGCAUAACUAGAGUACAGAAGAGGGAAACGGAAUUCCCGGUGUAGAGGUGAAAUUCGUAGAUAUCGGGAGGAACACCAGUGGCGAAGGCGGUUUCCUGGUCUGAUACUGACGCUGAGGCGCGAAAGCGUGGGGAGCAAACAGGAUUAGAAACCCGGGUAGUCC
RNAcentral lists this ribosomal RNA (451 nucleotides) under uncultured bacterium. RNAcentral's name for it is "partial 16S ribosomal RNA". It matches the Rfam family "Bacterial small subunit ribosomal RNA", at positions 354 to 796 of the family's 1533-position model. The record is from RNAcentral.